UGAAAAAGAUUCGGCUCGUCCUCGAACUACACAUCACUCACUAUCCGCUUUCUGCUCUUUUCUAGGCGACACUUAGGUACGCGAAAUACAGCUACUAACGCUUUCGUAUAUAUUUUUUGAAUAUAUACAUAUAUAAACGGGAAAUGGACCGGAAAGAGACAGAGGUGGACGAGAAAGGAGUUUCAUCCUCUACAAGCGGAGUUGUUGUGCAAGUUAGGGAGAAGAAGGGACCUCUGCGCGCGGCCAUCCCCUACAUGCCAUUUCCUGUAGCUGUCAUAUGUCUGUUCCUCAACACUUUCGUUCCCGGGUUAGGCACAUUAAUCUCAGCCUUUACUGUGCUAUGCGGUGCCAGGACGGAUCUGCCGGAUAAACACGUGUGCUGCGUGUUUUGGCUCAACAUUGCUGCAGCCUUCAUCCAGAUCAUCACUGCUGUGGUCAUGGUGGGCUGGAUCAUGAGCAUAUUCUGGGGCAUGGACAUGGUUAUCCUUGCAAGUGAGCAUCAUACAUAGCCACACACUAUAUCUCAAACGGGGAGACUCUGUCUUAUGCUAGACCAGAUAUAAACUCUUUAGUCUUUUGUAAAUUGAUAGACUCAGAAGCAGAACCGACAGAGCAUGGUGAAGAAAAAGGUGUGAAAAUGGAUGAAGAAAAGUGCCCAACAUACCUGACAUAGAUUUAAACUUUUCUUAAUUAUUGUGCUCAAGGUUAUGAUGGUUGGUAAGGAUCAAGAAGGGGUGUUCUGCACCUUCGAGCCAGUGUUUCCAGUCUUCCAGAGCUACCUCAAUGGCCAGUAGUUUACGGUUCUCCACAUUAUUGUUAUAUUCUGUUGGGUUAAGCUUUCCUGUGUAGAAGGCACAUGGGUGUAACUUUGAUGGGGUUCCCAUUGUGUUGUGAGAGGAUCAGUCCUGUGCUGCUCUUUGAGGCAUCCCCCUCAACUACAAACUGCAUGGAAGCAUUGGUGAGUCAACCCUUGCAUGUUUGGAAGACCGCUCAUGUAACUUAAGUCCCUUUUGCUUCCUCUUGCAGUGAGGUGAACCCUAGGAAUCAUUCUAGUUACCGUACCUCUUGUGGCCAAGAGGUUACUACUACACUCUUUGUCUUGUCCAUUUUCACACCCUAGGAUAAUCUAGGAUACCCUAGGAUAAUCCAUUGAUAAUCUAUCCAAGAAAGGCUAUGUUCUUAACUUAUGAAGGCCUUGGAACACUGAGAGGGUAUUGAGACGUCCAUAAGGAAUGCCCUGGUAUUCUUAGUGGCUGGACAAUAAUAUAGGCAGUCUUUCUCUCACCCAUAAAUACUGGUAAGACAGAUUAUAAGAUCUCAUUACACCCUUAGCCUUUAGUUGUUAUGAGAUGUCACUGCAUAUCCUGUAGCAAUCUAGUUUUUUUUUUUUUUACCUGCUGUGGAAUACUUUUUUAGUUGCUCAUAUGCUAGAGUAAAAUGAUGUUUUAAGCCACUUCUACACCAUACAGCAUCUCUGCUAUCUUAAUGUGCAUAUUUGUAGUCCUAUGAACAGUGACGAUAGCUACUUUUUGACUUUAGAGAUCAGAUAGAGAUCACUGUCAUAACUGCUUUAUGUGAACAGUCAAGAGAACAUUUUUCUAUUUUUGUUGUUUUAAAAACAGUUAUUCUUUCAAACCCACUGUAAAUAUAGCUUCUGUUUCCCUUCCGUUUUGUAAACAUAGUGUUGGACUGCAUAAUUUUGAAAGUCAUUGCUAUAUUUGUAUGUUGUCAAAAAAAUUAACAGUUAUUUUCCUAUUUAUUUUCCAUGCUACCCUGCCUCAAACAAAAGUCUCUGAAGGUAGGUUCAAUGCAUGGCCUUUGUUCUACUUCCUUAAACAGAAUAGUUGGACAAUAUUGCUUAAAAAGUUCCAUGUAAUA
RNA transcript from Ictalurus furcatus (blue catfish), 1878 nucleotides. It is a transcript of the gene named stum, mechanosensory transduction mediator homolog, with no coding region annotated. The transcript has 3 exons. The record is from RefSeq and is a predicted model, not a curated record. NCBI's taxonomy places the organism in Eukaryota, Metazoa, Chordata, Actinopteri, Siluriformes, Ictaluridae.